GCACAUUGCGCCCCCUGGCAUUCCGGGGGGCAUGCCUGUCCGAGCGUCAUUGCUAACCCUCCAGCCCGGCUGGUGUGUUGGGUCGACGUCCCCCCCGGGGGACGGGCCCGAAAGGCAGCGGCGGCGCCGCGUCCGAUCCUCGAGCGUAUGGGGCUUUGUCACGCGCUCUGGUAGGGUCGGCCGGCUGGCCAGCCAGCGACCUCACGGUCACCUAUUUUUUCUCUUAGGUUGACCUCGGAUCAGGUAGGGAUACCCGCUGAACUUAAGCAUAUCAAUAAGCGGAGGAAAAGAAACCAACAGGGAUUGCCCUAGUAACGGCGAGUGAAGCGGCAAGAGCUCAAAUUUGAAAUCUGGCUCCUCCGGGGUCCGAGUUGUAAUUUGCAGAGGAUGCUUCGGGUGCGGUCCCCGUCUAAGUACCCUGGAAUGGGUCGUCAUAGAGGGUGAGAAUCCCGUCUGGGACGGGUGGCCGUGUCCGUGUGAAGCUCCUUCGACGAGUCGAGUUGUUUGGGAAUGCAGCUCUAAAUGGGUGGUAAAUUUCAUCUAAAGCUAA
RNAcentral lists this ribosomal RNA (550 nucleotides) under Paecilomyces sp. PSU-ES133. Its description in RNAcentral is "eukaryotic LSU rRNA". The stretch from base 230 to 550 matches the Rfam family "Eukaryotic large subunit ribosomal RNA", at positions 1 to 319 of the family's 3401-position model. The record is from RNAcentral. Lineage: Eukaryota; Fungi; Ascomycota; Eurotiomycetes; Eurotiales; Thermoascaceae.